This 775-nucleotide ribosomal RNA is filed under the name uncultured Neocallimastigales. RNAcentral describes it as "partial large subunit ribosomal RNA". It matches the Rfam family "Eukaryotic large subunit ribosomal RNA", at positions 24 to 637 of the family's 3401-position model. The record is from RNAcentral. Lineage: Eukaryota; Fungi; Neocallimastigomycota; Neocallimastigomycetes; Neocallimastigales.
GCGCAUCUGUGCAUGCAGCAUAUCAAUAAGCGGAGGAAAAGAAACUAACAAGGAUUCCCCUAGUAACGGCGAGUGAAGCGGGAAGAGCUCAAAUUUGAAAUCUUAAAGGGUUUCCCUUUACGAAUUGUAGUUUAAAGAAGUGUUUUCUGUUGAGGUUUUGGUAAAAGUUCUUUGGAAUAGGACAUCAUAGAGGGUGAGAAUCCCGUAUUUGACCUUUACUUUCAACUUUGUGAUACACUUUCAAAGAGUCGGAUUGUUUGGGAAUGCAGUCCAAAAUGGGUGGUAAAUUUCAUCUAAAGCUAAAUAUUGGCGAGAGACCGAUAGCGAACAAGUACCGUGAGGGAAAGAUGAAAAGAACUUUGAAAAGAGAGUUAAACAGUACGUGAAAUUGUCAAAAGGGAAGCGUUUGACACCAGUGUUGUUUUUCUGAAAAUCAAUUAAAGAACUGUUUAUGCUAAGUUGUUUAGACUUUAUCAGCUAACUGUUUAGUUUUGAGCUUUUCUUUAAUGCACUUUUCAGUUAACAAGUCAACAUCAAUUUCUUUUGCUGUAAAAAAGCUUGAGGAAGGUGGCUUGAGAUUCGUCUUAAGUGUUUAUAGCCUCUUGCCUAUGCAGUCGGAGAGAUUGAGGUCUGCAGCGUAGAUCCUUCGGGGCUAAAUGCAUUUGUGCUAAGUUAUAGCAUUUUAUAGACAACUUGUUGACUAUGAUUUGUCUUGUAGCUUACUCGCUUAUGUUAUUUUACCUACGCUUAGGAUGUUGACAGCAGUAUAGACUGU